UUUUGUUAAAAAGCGAUUUGUUUAGAUAAAAUAAAUCAUGUGAAUACAUUAAUUAGAAAGUGGAUAGGUGGGAAAACGAAAUAUCGGGCAGAUAUGGGGGUGAAAAAGCGAAGCAUCAAGGAGUGGGAAGGGAGGUGAAGGAUGAAUUGCCACGUGACAAACUUCAUGAAAAAUAAUAUAUAGAUAUAGAUAUAGAAGAAGAUAUAGAUACAGAUAUAGAUAUAUCUUUUUCUAAGUUUGCACACUAAUUAA
Molecule: long non-coding RNA, 252 nt
Filed under: Ananas comosus (pineapple)
Lineage: Eukaryota; Viridiplantae; Streptophyta; Magnoliopsida; Poales; Bromeliaceae
Description: long non-coding RNA (ACOM_LNC015403)
Source: RNAcentral